This 3020-nucleotide long non-coding RNA is filed under the name Salmo salar (Atlantic salmon). RNAcentral describes it as "lncRNA (ENSSSAG00000119181.1)". The record is from RNAcentral. Lineage: Eukaryota; Metazoa; Chordata; Actinopteri; Salmoniformes; Salmonidae.
CCGUCGAUGAAGAGGAUCAGAUUACUGGCUGAACUGGCUGACUAGACACAAACACACCGUCGAUGAAGAGGAUCAGACUACUGGCUGAACUGGCUGACUAGACACAAACACACCGUCGAUGAAGAGGAUCAGACUACUGGCUGAACUGGCUGACUAGACACAAACACACCGUCGAUGAAGAGGAUCAGACUACUGGCUGAACUGGCUGACUAGACACAAACACACCGCUGAUGAAGAGGAUCAGACUACUGGCUGAACUGGCUGACUAGACACAAACACACCGUCGAUGAAGAGGAUCAGACUACUGGCUGAACUGGCUGACUAGACACAAACACACCGUCGAUGAAGAGGAUCAGACUACUGGCUGAACUGGCUGACUAGACACAAACACAUCGCUGAUGAAGAGGAUCAGACUACUGGCUGAACUGGCUGACUAGACACAAACACACGAGGAUCAGACUACUGGCUGAACUGGCUGACUAGACACAAACACACGAGGAUCAGACUACUGGCUGAACUGGCUGACUAGACACAAACACACCAGGAUCAGACUACUGGCUGAACUGGCUGACUAGACACAAACACACGAGGAUCAGACUACUGGCUGAACUGGCUGACUAGACACAAACACACCGCUGAUGAAGAGGAUCAGAUUACUGGCUGAACUGGCUGACUAGACACAAACACACCGCUGAUGAAGAGGAUCAGACUACUGGCUGAACUGGCUGACUAGACACAAACACACCGUCGAUGAAGAGGAUCAGACUACUGGCUGAACUGGCUGACUAGACACAAACACACCGUCGAUGAAGAGGAUCAGACUACUGGCUGAACUGGCUGACUAGACACAAACACAUCGCUGAUGAAGAGGAUCAGAUUACUGGCUGAACUGGCUGACUAGACACAAACACAUCUCUAUGAACAUACACUAAGUGGACAAAACAUUAAGAACACCUGCUCUUUUCCAUCACAUAGACUGACCGACCAGGUGAAUCCAGGUGAAUCCAGGUGAAAGCUCUGAUCCCUUAUUGACAUCACUUUUUAAAGAUUUUUUUUUUUUAAAGCCUUGAGACAAUAGAGUACCACAGUAUAAUACCCAUAAAACCUAGCGGUCAAAUAGGAAAACGGUUCCAACAUUCCUUUUUCCACGUAGGGGAUUUUAGAAAUACUUAAAAUAAGGACUGUGUUUCGUGUAGGUUUACCCUGGCGUGACGUUUUGAUAACUGUGUAAAUCUCUCUCUAAGACAAAGGUGACUUGGAUCAAUAUAUUCCCCUUGUGUAAACGUUUCUAAAAUCUCUGAAUGGAACCAUUUCCUUGUUCGACCGCUAGGCUUUAUGGGUAUUAUGACACCUCCGCUGUGGGGCCUCUAUUGAGACAUGGAUUCAGAGGCUGAAUGGGCAAAGACCAAAAUGUAAGUGUCUUUGAAUGGGGUGCUUGGGUUUUUCACUCUCAACAGUUUCCUGUCUGUAUCAAAAGGACAUCCAGCCAAUUUGACACAACUGUAGGAAGUAUUAGAGUCAACAUGGGCCAGCGUCCCUGUCGAACGCUUUAGACACCUUGUAGAGUCCAUGUCCCGACUAGUUGAGGCUGUUCUGACGGCAAGAGGGGGAGAAAACUCAAUAUUAGGAAGGUGUUCUUAAUGUUUUGUCCACUCAGUGUAUGUAAUUGCAAUUUUUCUAAAUACUUUUGACAUGAUAAAAACAAGUUUUAUAUUCAUAUAAUUAGUUUGUCGAUGUACAUAAUAUUUUCUACAAUAUUUUUUCAGUAAAACAACUUCUGAAAGUACAGCAGUAUAGCAUGGAUUUUUCUGUAACUGUGCAGUUUGACAGCAACGCCACAAGGGUUUGCUUGAGACCUCAUUAAAACCAAUAAUGCCAAUAGGUGUCCUUACAGCGACAACCAGGCUUUAAAGAAGAGGCAAUACAGUAACUUUUUUGGGGGCGAUCGCGACCAAAUUCACAUAGAAAUGUGAGUUACAGAUCUAUCAAAUCUACUUGAAAGCAAGUCUAAGAAGUGGUAGAUCUGUUCUGUGUGAGCUACUUCUAUGCUUCUUCCUGUUCUUACAUUUUUUUUACAUUUUUAGUCAUUUAGCAGACGCUCUUAUCCAGAGCGACUUACAGCAGUGAAUGCAUACAUUUCAUUCUCCGUACUGGUCCCACGUGAGAAUCGAACCCACAACCCUGGCGUUGCAAACACCAUGCUCUACCAACUGAGCCACACAGGACUUUCAGUUUUGUACAUCAAAUCAAGUAAAAUCAAACAUACACGUGGUUAGCAGGUGUUAUUGGUCACAUGGUUAGCAGGUGUUAUUGGUCACAUGGUUAGCAGAUGUUAUUGGUCACAUGGUUAGCAGGUGUUAUUGGUCACAUGGUUAGCAGGUGUUAUUGGUCACAUGGUUAGCAGGUGUUAUUGGUCACAUGGUUAGCAGAUGUUAUUGGUCACAUGGUUAGCAGGUGUUAUUGGUCACAUGGUUAGCAGGUGUUAUUGGUCACGUGGUUAGCAGAUGUUAUUGGUCACAUGGUUAGCAGGUGUUAUUGGUCACAUGGUUAGCAGAUGUUAUUGGUCACAUGGUUAGCAGGUGUUAUUGGUCACAUGGUUAGCAGAUGUUAUUGGUCACAUGGUUAGCAGGUGUUAUUGGUCACAUGGUUAGCAGGUGUUAUUGGUCACAUGGUUAGCAGGUGUUAUUGGUCACAUGGUUAGCAGAUGUUAUUGGUCACAUGGUUAGCAGGUGUUAUUGGUCACAUGGUUAGCAGAUGUUAUUGGUCACAUGGUUAGCAGGUGUUAUUGGUCACAUGGUUAGCAGGUGUUAAUGGUCACAUGGUUAGCAGAUGUUAUUGGUCACAUGGUUAGCAGGUGUUAUUGGUCACAUGGUUAGCAGGUGUUAUUGGUCACAUGGUUAACAGAUGUUAUUGGUCACAUGGUUAGCAGGUGUUAUUGGUCACAUGGUUAACAGAUGUUAUUGGUCACAUAGUUAGCAGGUGUUAAUGCGAGUGUAGCGAAAUGCUUGUGCUUCUCGUUC